GAUGAACGCUAGCGGGAGGCCUAACACAUGCAAGCCGAGCGGUAUUUGUUCUUCGGAACAGAGAGAGCGGCGCACGGGUGCGGAACACGUGUGCAACCUGCCUUUAUCUGGGGGAUAGCCUUUCGAAAGGAAGAUUAAUACCCCAUAAUAUAUUGAGUGGCAUCAUUUGAUAUUGAAAACUCCGGUGGAUAGAGAUGGGCACGCGCAAGAUUAGAUAGUUGGUGAGGUAACGGCUCACCAAGUCAAUGAUCUUUAGGGGGCCUGAGAGGGUGAUCCCCCACACUGGUACUGAGACACGGACCAGACUCCUACGGGAGGCAGCAGUGAGGAAUAUUGGACAAUGGGUUAGCGCCUGGUCCAGCCAUCCCGCGUGAAGGACGACGGCCCUAUGGGUUGUAAACUUCUUUUGUAUAGGGAUAAACCUACUCUCGUGAGAGUAGCUGAAGGUACUAUACGAAUAAGCACCGGCUAACUCCGUG
Molecule: ribosomal RNA, 479 nt
Filed under: uncultured bacterium
Lineage: Bacteria
Description: partial 16S ribosomal RNA
Rfam family: Bacterial small subunit ribosomal RNA
Source: RNAcentral